UCGCCGUGUGAUUUCCCAUCGAUUAUGUAAAUUAUAUAGCUACUCAGAGUAAAUAGGAGGAAACAGAAGAGAACUGAAAACAACUACAUACACAUUAACAUGAUGUCUUAAGUCAAAUGUUGCUAGGAAAGUCAACUAUUACAAUCAAUGUGUUGAAUGUGUGUUUUAUGUUAAAUUAUUACACUUCUCGCUCAGGUUAGAAGGAAGGUUGGCGCUUGUAAAACGUUUUAACCUACUGAACUUUUAUGCACCUGUCCUAAUUCAGGAUCAUGUUGUUCAGUGUUUGUCAUUUGUUGUUGUGGCUCAUGAUUUUUUCUCGUUUCUCGUUUAUAAUAUAGAUUAGAUGUUUGAAUUUGAAUGAUUUUACAUUAGUUAUUUGAGUCUCUCUAUAGCUUCCAGUUCGGUGUGAACCAACGCUCCGUGUUAAAGGCCGUACUUUGACCUAUAGUUUAAUGUAUUAUUAGAAUGAUA
Molecule: long non-coding RNA, 471 nt
Filed under: Mytilus galloprovincialis (Mediterranean mussel)
Lineage: Eukaryota; Metazoa; Mollusca; Bivalvia; Mytilida; Mytilidae
Source: RNAcentral